RNAcentral lists this ribosomal RNA (253 nucleotides) under uncultured bacterium. RNAcentral describes it as "partial 16S ribosomal RNA". It matches the Rfam family "Bacterial small subunit ribosomal RNA", at positions 524 to 776 of the family's 1533-position model. The record is from RNAcentral.
UACAGAGACCUCAAGCAUUAUCCGGAUUUAUUGGGCGUAAAGGGUCCGCAGGUGGUCGUGCACGUCGGGGGUUAAAUGUAUGGGCUCAACCCGUACACCGCUUUCGAUACGACAUGACUAGAGGCCGGGAGAGGUGAGCGGAAUUGCCGGUGUAGCGGUGAAAUGCGUAGAGAUCGGGAGGAACACCAGCGGCGAAGGCGGCGACCUGGACAGGUACUGACACUCAACUACGAAAGCGUGGGGAGCAAACAGG